AUAAGAUGAACCCGGCUACGGCCGGGAUGUUCAUAACCCUUUGUUGUCCGACUCUGUUGCCUCCGGGGCGACCCUGCCUUCGGGCGGGGGCUCCGGGUGGACACUUCAAACUCUUGCGUAACUUUGCAGUCUGAGUAAACUUAAUUAAUAAAUUAAAACUUUUAACAACGGAUCUCUUGGUUCUGGCAUCGAUGAAGAACGCAGCGAAAUGCGAUAAGUAAUGUGAAUUGCAGAAUUCAGUGAAUCAUCGAAUCUUUGAACGCACAUUGCGCCCCCUGGUAUUCCGGGGGGCAUGCCUGUUCGAGCGUCAUUUCACCACUCAAGCCUCGCUUGGUAUUGGGCAACGCGGUCCGCCGCGUGCCUCAAAUCGUCCGGCUGGGUCUUCUGUCCCCUAAGCGUUGUGGAAACUAUUCGCUAAAGGGUGUUCGGGAGGCUACGCCGUAAAACAACCCCAUUUCUAAGGUUGACCUCGGAUCAGGUAGGGAUACCCGCUGAACUUAAGCAUAUCAAUAAGCGGAGGAA
RNAcentral lists this ribosomal RNA (522 nucleotides) under Cladosporium cladosporioides. RNAcentral's name for it is "eukaryotic LSU rRNA". The stretch from base 157 to 310 matches the Rfam family "5.8S ribosomal RNA". Lineage: Eukaryota; Fungi; Ascomycota; Dothideomycetes; Cladosporiales; Cladosporiaceae. The record is from RNAcentral.